This is a non-coding RNA of Vicia faba (fava bean), 333 nucleotides long. The record is from the annotation of a GenBank genome assembly. NCBI's taxonomy places the organism in Eukaryota, Viridiplantae, Streptophyta, Magnoliopsida, Fabales, Fabaceae.
AUGAAUCGCUGCUUCAAUCGAUCUUUCUUCCCAUUUCUUCCGUCAUCUCCGCCACCUUCUUAUGUCUCCCUUCCCUAUCUCAAUCUCUCUUCAUUUCUGUCAGCACGUCGCCGCGGCCACCACCGAUUACCACCACGAAUGGCCACGUCUCGUCUUUAUCUCACAUACUCCUCAUCGCUUGCGAGUCAGAGCCUCACAUUCAUAGAUCUUAACCUUCUUUCCGCAUCUAAUAGGAAAACUAGACCUACGAAGCCGAGAAUUGUAUUUAUUACUUCCACAACAUCAAUUCUUUUUCUCUUCUCUGAUUCCUUGCACUUUUUGCAUUUUCUAUGA